CUAGUACGGAGUUUAGAAAUGACACUUUCUUCUCCAAAUAUCCCACCUGAAAUUCUUGCUACACUUCUUAACUUGGAUGGUGAUGCUGAAUAUUCACUGCUUGUAAACUUGAUUAGGUUGAAUGAUCUUCAAUUGUCAAGGCGAAUUUCCAUCGAAAUCUUGCAUAAUGAUCUUGCACAGACUGCCUCCAAGGCUUAGCUCGAGUGGAAAAAGGGGAUGGAUUUGAGCCCGAUAUUUAAGUGGAGAAGGGUAGAGGAACGGGUCCAUUAUCCAUUGAGUUUAGAAGGCUAUGAUUGGUCCAAAGGGUGGGCCACAGGCGGAUUUCUCGGUUAUCAAAAAAAAAAAGA
Solanum lycopersicum (tomato) is the source of this 347-nucleotide non-coding RNA. NCBI's taxonomy places the organism in Eukaryota, Viridiplantae, Streptophyta, Magnoliopsida, Solanales, Solanaceae. The record is from RefSeq and is a predicted model, not a curated record.